RNAcentral lists this ribosomal RNA (583 nucleotides) under Botryosphaeria dothidea. RNAcentral describes it as "eukaryotic LSU rRNA". The stretch from base 211 to 364 matches the Rfam family "5.8S ribosomal RNA". Lineage: Eukaryota; Fungi; Ascomycota; Dothideomycetes; Botryosphaeriales; Botryosphaeriaceae. The record is from RNAcentral.
UCCGUAGGUGAACCUGCGGAAGGAUCAUUACCGAGUUGAUUCGGGCUCCGGCCCGAUCCUCCCACCCUUUGUGUACCUACCUCUGUUGCUUUGGCGGGCCGCGGUCCUCCGCGGCCGCCCCCCUCCCCGGGGGGGUGGCCAGCGCCCGCCAGAGGACCAUCAAACUCCAGUCAGUAAACGAUGCAGUCUGAAAAACAUUUAAUAAACUAAAACUUUCAACAACGGAUCUCUUGGUUCUGGCAUCGAUGAAGAACGCAGCGAAAUGCGAUAAGUAAUGUGAAUUGCAGAAUUCAGUGAAUCAUCGAAUCUUUGAACGCACAUUGCGCCCUUUGGUAUUCCGAAGGGCAUGCCUGUUCGAGCGUCAUUACAACCCUCAAGCUCUGCUUGGUAUUGGGCACCGUCCUUUGCGGGCGCGCCUCAAAGACCUCGGCGGUGGCGUCUUGCCUCAAGCGUAGUAGAACAUACAUCUCGCUUCGGAGCGCAGGGCGUCGCCCGCCGGACGAACCUUCUGAACUUUUCUCAAGGUUGACCUCAGAUCAGGUAGGGAUACCCGCUGAACUUAAGCAUAUCAAUAAGCGGAGGA